ACGCGCAAUACAAUAGAUAUACAGUCUUUAUGGGAUAAUAUUUUGUAAGAGAUAUUUGAACUCGGAAUUGCUAGUAAAUUUUAUUGAAUAAGUAGAAUUGAAUGUGUCCCUGUUCUUUGUACACACCGCCCGUCGCUAUCUAAGAUGAUAUAUGCUGUGAAAUUAGUGCAAACUACUUGAACAAUAUGUAUUAGAUCUGAUAUAAGUCGUAACAUGGUUGCUGUUGGAGAACCAUUAGCAGGAUCAUAA
This 249-nucleotide ribosomal RNA is filed under the name Vairimorpha bombi. Its description in RNAcentral is "Nosema bombi partial small subunit ribosomal RNA". It matches the Rfam family "Microsporidia small subunit ribosomal RNA", at positions 1047 to 1311 of the family's 1311-position model. The record is from RNAcentral. Lineage: Eukaryota; Fungi; Microsporidia; Nosematidae.